GUAAAAGUCAUCUAAAAUUCAAAAGAUUACUCCAGCAAAUAAAACAAAGAUAAAAACUUUCGUCUGGAGUCAGUAUAGUUUAGAUGUAACUAACUAUCCGAAGGUUAUUUGUAACAACUGCCACAAAACCUCUAUGAUCUCGACAAGAACAAAGUGGAGUACCUAGGGAACUGGAUAGAAAAGAUAAAAUUCAUAUUGAUAGAUUGCAUCUUAGAAGAUUACCAAAUAUCAAUGACAUUGUUGAUGAAAUUAAUGCUUCUAAUGAUUCUGAAUGCGCCUCCAGACUAUGUUCAACAUGCUUUGGUUUUGUAGUGCAAGGAGUAGUUCAUAUCUGUACAGAGAGUGAGCAAAGCUGUUGACAAUCUGAUUGUAGCAGCAGAACAGCUUGGACCUAAAUAUUCAGAACAAGUAGCC
Molecule: long non-coding RNA, 414 nt
Organism: Hydra vulgaris (swiftwater hydra)
Lineage: Eukaryota; Metazoa; Cnidaria; Hydrozoa; Anthoathecata; Hydridae
Source: RefSeq, a predicted model, not a curated record